RNAcentral lists this ribosomal RNA (429 nucleotides) under Bacillota bacterium. Its description in RNAcentral is "Firmicutes bacterium partial 16S ribosomal RNA". It matches the Rfam family "Bacterial small subunit ribosomal RNA", at positions 355 to 776 of the family's 1533-position model. Lineage: Bacteria; Bacillati; Bacillota. The record is from RNAcentral.
UAGGGAAUCUUCGGCAAUGGACGGAAGUCUGACCGAGCAACGCCGCGUGAGUGAAGAAGGUUUUCGGAUCGUAAAGCUCUGUUGUUAGAGAAGAACGUUGGUAGGAGUGGAAAAUCUACCAAGUGACGGUAACUAACCAGAAAGGGACGGCUAACUACGUGCCAGCAGCCGCGGUAAUACGUAGGUCCCGAGCGUUGUCCGGAUUUAUUGGGCGUAAAGCGAGCGCAGGCGGUUCUUUAAGUCUGAAGUUAAAGGCAGUGGCUUAACCAUUGUACGCUUUGGAAACUGGAGGAAUUGAGUGCAGAAGGGGAGAGUGGAAUUCCAUGUGUAGCGGUGAAAGGCGUAGAUAUAUGGAGGAACACCGGUGGCGAAAGCGGCUCUCUGGUCUGAAACUGACGCUGAGGCUCGAAAGCGUGGGGAGCAAACAGG